This is a small nuclear RNA of Chionomys nivalis (European snow vole), 104 nucleotides long. Lineage: Eukaryota; Metazoa; Chordata; Mammalia; Rodentia; Cricetidae. The record is from RefSeq and is a predicted model, not a curated record.
GUACUCACUUUGGCAGCACAUGUACUAAUUUGGAACGAUACAGAGAAGAUGAUCAUGGCCUAAGUAAGGAUGACACGCAAAUUUACCAAGAUAUAUAUAUAUAU